CAUCGAAGGUGUGAAUGCAGGUGGAAGCAUACAUAGGAAGGAGGGAGGGGGGUUAAGUGCACAGCAAUGAGACAGUUAGUGAGGAAAGUCCAGGUGAUGACUUUGUUGGGUUGGGUGGAAAUGCAUCAAUGCCAUCAUCUGUCAUCGGUCUUGCUGUGUCUCCUCACCCGGUCUUGCGGCCUUGACAGCUCACAAUAUGCCCCUCGCCCCUAACCCUAACCCUUCCUCCCUCUCUAGCCCUAACCCUGCUCUACCCUGCACUGCCAUGUCCUUCUCCUCCUCCUCCCCCGUUCCGUUUCCUUUUUCUGCUUUAUUGCUCUCGUGACUCUCGCCACCCCUUCGCUUUCCCGAUGCCUGCAAUCUAACGAACGCAUCACUGCCAUCUCCACCUCCACGUCAUUUGCACUGGAACCUGCCCUUUCCCUCGCCUCUCGUUUCUCUGCCUGCCUGUGUCCCAGCCCCGGGUUGGUGUGCCUUCCCAACUUUGAUUCUCUCCAAUUCUUAGGUACACUUGACACUUAAGUGAUCGUAGGCUGAUACGUUAUGACAUCAGCACUUCGUUUCUAGUGAAGAGGGUCUGCAUGCAAUUCCGUUUUAUUUUUUGCAAGUGUACUUUUUUUUUUUCAUCGGAAACGAGGGUCUAUCGAUCUGUACCGUGUCUCUUUCGUUUCUGUGGGUAGCUACAUGUUUGUCAACUACAUACCUACCUAGCUUAAAAGCAGUCACAGAUCAUUUUAGGUUAUCCCUGCAUCAUGCUAUUUGGAAACGCAAACAUGGAUUCUUUCUGCCGACAGUCUACUUUCUGGUUUGAAGCAAUUUUAGGUUUUCUGAGUCAUUGAAGUUCUGAGGUGGUGAUAUUAAAUCUGAAUCUUUUAUGAGGUAGGAGCUCAAUUCAGCAAGAACUGCUUAUCGUGCUUGAUAUCCAGUUCAACAGGUGUACCCCCCGUCCUCAUAUUGAUCGAAACAAUUAUGUAGUUUGUCUGGGAUUGGACGAGAAAAUUAACUUAGUUGACCGUUUAACCAUGUACACCAUGAAAUUUCAAGCCUUCAUGGGUUUAUAAUUCUUUUGGUUGAAAAAAUGGUGCUUGGAAGGAACAAUUACUGUACUGAUUCCCGUUUCUCAUGGGUAGUUCCAUGAUCAGCAUCUCGUCCGUAAUGAAGAUGUCACCGAGUGGUCGGAAUAUGUGCUCGGAAAUUUCACGGAUGGGUGCUUUCCAAAAUGUGUUACGUCUUUCAACCAGAUAGGUUGUACUGUUUACUCUUCAUUCACGUUCGUAGUUUCUCAUCGACGACGAUUAGUUGCGCAAUUGUCUUUUUCGAAAUAUCAUAACAAUUUGUCACUAUCACGGCGUCCGGUAUUACGGAAGUUCCAGGAGUACGCAAGUGGAGCUGAUGUGACUACGAUAUUUAUAUCCGGGAGCUUGUUUAUCAGCAGAUUUUCUCCUUCGCUAGUGCAUGUGCGGUAUCGUUUGCGCGUAGAUUUCACACCAUCGACUGCGCCGUCUGUAGACACACUUUCUUUUCAGGUGAAUGUUG
Molecule: non-coding RNA, 1536 nt
Organism: Physcomitrium patens
Lineage: Eukaryota; Viridiplantae; Streptophyta; Bryopsida; Funariales; Funariaceae
Source: RefSeq, a predicted model, not a curated record